Biomphalaria glabrata is the source of this 2606-nucleotide long non-coding RNA. RefSeq lists it as uncharacterized. The transcript has 5 exons. The record is from RefSeq and is a predicted model, not a curated record. NCBI's taxonomy places the organism in Eukaryota, Metazoa, Mollusca, Gastropoda, Planorbidae.
CACGCACACACACUCGAAAUACACACACACACAGACAAAUACACACAGUUUUUAAUCAAAAUAAAUAAAAAUUUCAUGUUGUCAUGCACUUUACAUGACUUAUGUUUGUGAUAUUUAAAUUAUAUUUCGGUAGACUUGUAAUUAGACAAGAAAAGAGACAAUAACUCAUCUGCUACCCUUACAGUAUCGGGUCCCAUCUCUGAUGUGGUCUGGACAACAGCAAGUGAUGGGAUCAUUGCGUGUUGAGAAAGCUAAAAGCAUGAAACUGUGUUAAACAAAAAGAAUUGUCAUUAAAAAAAUGCCCAUGCUGACUCAAUAAGCACUGCACGCACAGUAGGGAGAGCUGGAAAACAAGAAGCUACUUGAAUCCUGUUACAGACACCAAGACAGCAGACAACGUUUGAAAUGUGUGUUUUGGUCUCACUGCGACCAACUAACGCAUCAAUAAACAGUGGAAUAAAAUCCGGACAUUUUUACAUUUUGGGCCGAUUCCUACAUGAGACAAGACCUCAAAAAGGAGAACACGUCCUCUUUCUCCGGACGUCUAGUAACCCGAACCUUUCAGGAAUCCACGUCUCAACGUUGCGGCACAACUGAUGACUCUGUUUCUAUUUAGUACAUUCAUGAAAGCAAAUCAUAACAAGUUUAAAGUUUAAAGAUGAGUUUAAUUCUCACUUAGUUUAUAAUUCUUCGAGAGUUAGUGUCAUCUGCAAAUUGGAAACUAAAAAAAAGCUUCCGGUUUCAUUUUCACCUUGUCUUUCAGUUCCGGAAACCGCAAGAUUUAAUCUUAAAUUCUAAACACAUUUUUUAAAUGUACACGUCAUUUAGAUCAGGAUAUAAAUAGAUCUAGUUGCAAACUCCUAAAUAUAUUUACCUCUAUGACUCAAAAAUAAAGGGACUCAAUAUCUAGGCAACAUAGAGUAGGGUCUAUAACAAAAUAUAGCAACAUGCUAGCCUUACCAUUGAAUGGUUGAUUUAGGUUUAGAUCUGGAUUUUAUUCCUCAAUGUAGAACACUCAUUCAUGUUUUCGUGAUAAUGCAUAGACUAGAUCUACAGAAAUGUACAGAAUCUAGACUCAAGUUUACAAUUAUGGAGUGUUCACAGCAAUUCUGAUUCUCUAGACUAGACUCUAGAUUAGAUCUAUCUACCCAAAUAUGUGCACAUAUAUUUGAAAACGUUCUGGCAUUUGUCCUGGUAAUCCAUCAAAAGUUCUAGACAAUGAAAAGGCAAUUUAAAAUCCAACGUUUAGAAUGAAACACAGAUGGCAUUUUAUCACUCUAUUUUGCUGUGCUCUUUACGCUUGCACUAAAUCGAAUCAAAGACUGCUUGGUUUUGGUUAUCCCCCUUUUUCGUGCACACGAGGGGCGGUAGGAAGAGUAGCAUCCAUACUCUUUGUUUUUCUUGUAGCCAAGGUUAGGCGCAGAAAUUUCUAUGGCAUAACGAAAGCGCCACUUUUUCUCGUUUUAAUACCAAUGUUAAACGUAACCAUUAAUUUACUUUAUAUAAAGCUUAUAUUAAUUUUUAACUCACCCUGUCUCUCUGUCUGUCUGGGUGGAUUCUUUUACACUUUUCUCCAACUUCGCUUUCUCGAAUCAAGUAGAAAUUUCGCGCAAUCAUUCAUUGUCAAUGACAACACAUUAAUCUUUUUUUUUUAAUUAACCAAUUAGCUAAUCAAUUAGUCGUAACUAAUUAAUCAACUAAUUUUGUAUUACACAAAAAACGGGAGGAUAAAACUUGUAAUAUUGAGAUAUGGUAGUAAUUAAACAGUGCGCUAACUUAAUUCUAUAUAGGCCUAAGUAUGUUUUUUUUAAGUAUUUAUAUAUUAAUUUUGCUGGUUUCACUUUCUUUACACAAUUUAUUACAUACAAAUAGAAUGUAUAUAGGUAAGUGUUAUGUAGUGUAUGUGUGUGUUUCCAGGGUAAAGACGAGGAAAGGAGAGCUGGUGUUUCUGAUGAAACCAUGAGCUUGUCUGUCCUAAUGGAUAUUACAAACUCGGUCACUUGUAUGAUAGUUGAGGGAGUUUUGUUUAAGAGACGUGAAACAGUACAGACGUGGUUGUGUAGUUAGAGUUGGAGUUCAAUAAUCAUUUCAUUAUAGGUUAAUAUUAGAUCUCAUUUAAAAUUGGAUUUAUUUAUAUUUAUAAAUAAAAGUUAUAUUGAAGUUUGUUUAAAAAGACUUUUCAAGUUUAUUUCAGCAUGAAUUGAAUACAUCCUCAUCGGUUUGGGUGCAUUAGCUGUUUGGUUCUGCAUACAUACCAGCCAACUACCAACAACAAUAGGACACUACACUAUAGACUAUAGAGAGAUAAACAUAGGGGGAAAAAACACCCUAUAGGAAACCUUGACAUUUCCAGCAUACUAGACUUAGAAAUUUGAUAUUAGAAAUAAUUAAACUAAUUAAAUUGGAUAGCUGCUUGGUCCCGUGGUAUGCGCUCUAAGCCAUCGUCUCGAUGGUCCUGGGUUCGAACCGUGCCCGCAGCCAGCGAGAUGUUUGGGAUUAGAAUGUAAUAAUCUUCAAGUCUGAACGUAGAGGCCUACAACAAACGUCGGAAACGUGUAAAACAAAAACAAAACAAAAUUAUUUUAUAAUAAAAUGUAUUUCUUUGC